This is a long non-coding RNA of Panicum hallii, 1908 nucleotides long. RefSeq lists it as uncharacterized. Lineage: Eukaryota; Viridiplantae; Streptophyta; Magnoliopsida; Poales; Poaceae. The transcript is spliced from 3 exons. The record is from RefSeq and is a predicted model, not a curated record.
UUCGGCUUACCACGGUGACUCGUCGCGGUGGUCUGCGGGCGACGCGGGAUAAACUCUAGCCGCCUGCGCUUCACCGCUGCUCCUCGCAUGUUCCUUUGCUUCCGAGGUCCCGUUCGCCUUUGGACAUGAUCCUUUGUCCACUACCCACGAUUCUUCCUCUGCUCUGCUUGCCUGCCGCCGUGCCGCGGCGGAGGUUGAAGAAGGGCGCCGGCAGCUUCCCGUCGACCUCAGCCCGUCCAGCCGCCCCAGCUCCUCCGCGUACGAUGGGCCGCCGGCCUGAUCGAUAAAUACAUGUACACGCGAGCAAACUGUCAGCUUGGAUUUGCUUGGUUCUGGUUUCGGCAAGGGAUGAAACGGUUACUAUGUACCAGGGCUAUGGCGUCUCAGGUAGCCAUGGUGAGGAUGUCGGAGCAGGACACCUUGUUUCGGCACUGCGGCACGGCGUCUCGGGGGGCCGUCGGCGACGAACCCGACGCUGGACCGGCGGUCCGCGACGCAGCUGCAGGCGGAGUGCCCGGCGAACGUCGACCCGAGGGCCGCCAUGUCCAUGGACCCCGUAAGGCUGGUGACCUUCGACAUCAGUACUUCAGGUACCUGCAGGCCGGGAAGGGUCCGCUGGCCUCGGACCAGAUGCUCUACACCUAGGUCCACCAUCGGCGCUUGGGCCCAGAGCGGCGCUGCCCUGUGACGAUCUCAUCCUUCUCGGUUACCAUUCUCAGUUACCAAGGUUUGAAGUUUCACUAUCUAAGUGAUUUGACGGUCUAUCUAAGUGAUUUGACGGUCAGCAUUUCGAUAGUGACCUUGAGCUACAUCAGUCAACUGACCCAUGCUAUGACGCAGCAAAAUCUGAUGAUGGUGCUGAAUAUUCAUGAAUCUGGUGAUACUACGGAUCGUUUUCUCGGCCAAAUCUCCUAACAAGUGGCAUAAUGGUCUAUCCGAAAGUUCCAUUCUGGAUCACUGGAGUCUAUAGCAGGGAACAAACUAAUGGGAUAUCCGGCAACCUCUAUUGGAUACCUCUAUUGGAUGCUGGUUGCAGAAGAUAUUGAUAGCCUUCAAAGCAGCAGUCUCGAUGGUAUCAACAAGAUGAUACCCUAGUACAUCGACUUCUAUGGGCUGCCACUGCCAUCGACUUCUAUGGGGUGCCACUGCGAGCGGAAAGGUUGUUGAGGAUCGUCAUCCUAACUUGGCAUCGAGGGACACCUUCUUCUCGAUACUCCACUCCGUCAUAUUGGGGAGGCUCAGUGUAAUGGAACAAACUUAAUGAUUUUCAUAGAAGACGAGGAAAAUCUUUCCAAUGCAAGGCAUUAGUGUGAAGAUGCCCUGCAUGAUCCCAAGAGACAUUUGAAGGAGCGGCCAAAGCCUAAUGCUUUGCAUUGGGAAGGUUUUUCUCGUCUUCUAUGGAAAUCAUUAAGUUUGUUCCAUUACACUGAGCCUCCCCAAUAUGACGGAGUGGAGUAUCGAGAAGAAGGUGUCCCUCGAUGCCAAGUUAGGAUGACGAUCCCUCAACAUCCUUUCCGCUCCAGUGGCACCCCAUAGAAGUCGAUGUGGUGGGGUAUCGUCUUGUUGAUACCAUCGAGACUGCUGCUUUAGAGGCUAUUCAUAUCUUCUGCAACCAGCAUCCAAUGGAGGUUGCCGGGUAUCCUAUUGGUUUGUUCCCUGCUAUAGACUCCAGUGAUCCGGAAUGGAACUUUCCGAUAGACCAUUAUGGCCACUUGUUGGGAGAUUUGGUCGAGGAAACGAUUCGUGGUAUCACCAGGUUUAUGAAUGUUCAGCACCAUUAUCAGAUUUUGCUGCGUCGUAGCAUGUGUCAGUUGACUGGUGUGGCUCAAGGUCACUAUCGGAAUGCUGACCGUCAAGUCACUCAGAUAGUGGAACUUCAAGCGUUGGAGACUCAGAAGGAUGAGAUCA